GACGAACGCUGGCGGCGUGCCUAACACAUGCAAGUCGAACGGGGUGAUUCCUUCGGGGAUCACUUAGUGGCGAACGGGUGAGUAACGCGUGGGGAACCUGCCUUUCAGUGGGGGACAACAGUUGGAAACGACUGCUAAUACCGCAUAACAUGUACGGAUCGCAUGGUCUGUACAUCAAAGCUUUAUGUGCUGAAAGAUGGCCUCGCGUCUGAUUAGCUAGUUGGUGGGGUAACGGCCCACCAAGGCGACGAUCAGUAGCCGGUCUGAGAGGAUGAACGGCCACAUUGGGACUGAGAUACGGCCCAG
This 306-nucleotide ribosomal RNA is filed under the name uncultured bacterium. RNAcentral's name for it is "bacterial SSU rRNA". It matches the Rfam family "Bacterial small subunit ribosomal RNA", at positions 28 to 334 of the family's 1533-position model. The record is from RNAcentral.